GCCCAGGUGGCGGAAUUGGUAGACGCGCACGUUUCAGGUGCGUGUGCCGCAAGGUGUGAAGGUUCGAGUCCUUUCCUGGGCACCA
Molecule: transfer RNA, 85 nt
Filed under: Muribaculaceae bacterium
Lineage: Bacteria; Pseudomonadati; Bacteroidota; Bacteroidia; Bacteroidales; Muribaculaceae
Also listed under: 1 other name
Description: tRNA-Leu
Rfam family: tRNA
About the family: Transfer RNA (tRNA) molecules are approximately 80 nucleotides in length. Their secondary structure includes four short double-helical elements and three loops (D, anti-codon, and T loops).
Source: RNAcentral